GCACAAAGAUUAAAUGACUUUAACUCACAGAUUUGAUGCGUUCCACAGUCCGCUCCUACGCCUCGGGUGGAGCUGGCGGGAAGGCUGAAUUAUCUAAUAACAAAAGACAUACAAUUAAUAGACAUUCGAAAAUUUUUCCUAGACUUAGACCCUAAGGUCGACUGCCUAGAAUUAAAUUGGACUCGAGGAUUCUGCCGAAAAUUUGACAGAACCUCCCCUAAAUAACGGAUAUUUACCCCCCGUAAAACGGGUCCAGGACCUGCCAAAAACAUAUCAAACAUGUUGGAAUUUAAUAACAGGAGCCGGGCCACAAGAACUGCAUUAAUAUUUUUCCGACUCCAAAACACCACAAUCCAAAUAAUUUAAUUUGGUUUAUUUUUUAACUACCCAACACAAGCAAUUAAUAGCCUCAAUAACUUUCUAAUAUUAUAACAAAAUUUUUCAGAGUCUAAUAAAAUUAUACCGAGUUAAAAAUUAAAAUAUUCCGCGCGUCCAGAAAACACUGGGGUCCGGAAGCCGGUCCUGCCAACAGUGUCGGAAUUCAAAUUCGGAAGCGCCUACGCGAAGCUCAAGUUGCGGGGAGUCCGGAAGUACAAGAGUUUUGGCCGGAAAGUGGCCGGAAGGAGGCCGAAUCGACGAUGGCAGCCUCUUCGUCAUUCGUCGGUGUCGCGUGGAAAGGAAGGAGAAGGGGAAGGCGCUGCUGAACGGCGGCGGCGAGCUGGGCGGCACGUAGGCAGUGUGGGGGAGAAGGCAGUCGACGGGGAGAUGGAGAAGGAAGGGAGGAAGGAAAAGGAGGAGGGGGAGGGGAAGGAAAGAAAAAGGGGAAGAAAAAUCCCUUAUUUUUAUUAUUAUUAUUAUUAUUAUUUUAAAAUAUAUAUAUAUAUAUAUAUAUAGAGUUAUUAUUAUUACAACUAAGGGUGUUACAUUCUACCCCCCUUAGAAAAAAAAAAUUCGACCUCGAAUUUUAAACCAUGGCCCACUUAGGAUUGAAAUAAAUGAGGGUAAAGGCUUCUCAUUUCCUGCUCGGUUUCCCAGGUACGCUCUUUAGACAUAUGAUUUCGCCACGAAACCUUGACCAUCGGAAAAAUUUUUGAGCGCAGCUGGCGAACUUGAGUAUCCACAAUCCUGACUGGCUGCUCCUCGUAAGUCAAAUCUUCACCAACUUCCACAUGUUGCGGUUGUAACACAUGCGAAGGGUCUGAAAUAUACUUUCUUAACAUCGAUAUGUGGAAUACCGGAUGCACGUGCGAGAAGUUCGGUGGCAAGUCUAGUUUGUAUGCCACAUCUCCAAUUCUGCCAAUAAUCUCAAAGGGUCCCACAUAACGAGGUGCCAAUUUUCCCUUCUUGCCGAACCGCAACACACCACGCAUAGGAGACACCUUCAGAUACAUAUUCCCCAACACUGAAUUCCACGUGCUUCCGCUUUGGAUCCUCAUAACUUUUCUGCCUACUAAAAGCUGUCUUCAGUCGCUCGCGAAUAACCGGAAUCUUUUCUGAAGUGAUUUGAACCAAUUCUGGUCCUGCUAACUUCCGUUCACCAACUUCUUCCCAACAUACGGGGGAUCUACACUUUCGACCAUACAAGGCCUCGAAAGGUGCCAUUUUGAUACUUGCAUGAUAGCUGUUAUUAUACGCAAAUUCGAUCAACGGUAGAUACCAAUCCCAUUGACCACCAAAGUCUAUCACGCACAUCCGAAGCAUAUCCUCUAAAGUCUGAAUAGUCCUUUCUGAUUGUCCGUCCGUCUGAGGAUGGAAGGCCGUACUGAAGUCCAACCUGGUACCAAGUUCCUCUUACAACUUUUUCCAAAACCUUGAAGUAAAUUGCGGCCCCCUGUCAGACACUAUAGAAACUGGGACGCCGUGAAGACUGACAAUCCUUUCCAGAUACACUUUUGCAUACUUAGCUACAGAGUAGGUAGUCUUUACCGGAAGGAAAUGCGCUGACUUAGUCAAUCGAUCCACAAUUACCCAGAUGGAGUCAUAACCAGCAGAAGUCUUGGGUAAACCUGAUACAAAAUCCAUAGUAAUCCUUUUCCAUUUCCACUCUGGUAUAGGAAGCGGCUGCAGUAAACCAGACGGCUUCUGAUGCUCCAAUUUAACCUGCUGACACGUCAGACAUGUGGAGACAAACUCUGCUACAUCCCUCUUCAUCCCGCUCCACCAAUAAUUUCUUUUCAAAUCAUGGUACAUCUUUGUGGAGCCCGGAUGCACGUUGUAAGCUGUACAAUGAGCUUCUUCCAAAAUCUCCUUUCUGAGAUUAUCCACAUCGGGAACACAUAGCCUAGAGCCCAUCAUGAGGGUGCCAUCACCAUUCAUAAUAAAAUCAUUAGCUCGACACUGCUGCAUUUCUUCUAAGAUUUCCUGCAACUGCGGGUCUCGAUUCUGAGCGAUCCUGAUUCUAUCGACAAGCACAGACCUAACCCUGAAAUGUGCUAACAACACACCCGAUUCUAAUAUUUCCACCUGAAACCCUUGAUCAUACAGUUCAUGCAACCCUUUAGCCAGCGGUCUCUUCUCUACAUUGAUAUGAGCAAGACUACCUACCGAUUUCCUGCUCAAAGCAUCUGCGACGACAUUCGCCUUACCUGGGUGGUAGAGAAUAUAACAAUCAUAGUCCUUCAGAAGCUCUAACCACCUUCUCUGCCUCAGGUUCAAAUCCUUCUGUUGGAAAAUAUACUUUAAGCUUUUAUGAUCCGUAUAAAUCUCGCACGUCUCUCCAUAGAGAUAGUGCCUCCAAAUCUUUAAUGCAAAAAUUACUGCUGCCAUCUCCAAAUCGUGGGUCGGGUAAUUUUGUUCAUGCUUCUUCAAUUGCCUGGACGCAUAAGCUAUUACCUUUCCAUUUUGCAUUAGAACACAACCCAAACCCACUCUAGAAGCGUCGCAAUACACCGUGAAUCCACCAGUGCCAGAAGGUAAGGUCAACACCGGAGCUGAAGUCAAACAGUCUUUCAACCUUUGAAAGCUUCUCUCACACGCAUCAGUCCACUGAAACCUGGCAUUUUUCUGAGUCAGCUUAGUCAAAGGCGCUGCUAUCCUCGAAAAGUCUUGCACAAAUCGACGGUAGUAGCCUGCCAACCGUAGAAAGCUACGCACUUCAGUCACUGAAGUUGGCCUCUGCCAUUCAGUCACUGCCUCCACUUUCUUAGGGUCCACUUGAAUACCCUCUUUAGACACUAUGUGCCCUAGAAAAGCAACGCUUUCCAACCAGAACUCGCACUUGGAGAACUUAGCGUAUAAUUGAUGUUCCCUCAAAGUCUGAAGUACUAUUCUCAAGUGCCACGCGUGCUCCUCUUCGCUUUUGGAAUAAACCAAGAUAUCAUCAAUGAAUACGAUGACAAAACGAUCCAGAAAUUCCUUGAACACUCGAUUCAUCAAAUCCAUAAAAGCCGCAGGGGCAUUAGUGAGUCCAAACGACAUCACCAGAAACUCAUAAUGCCUAUAACGCGUCCUGAACGCCGUCUUUGGCACAUCUUCACCACGGAUCCUUAACUGGUGAUACCCCGAUCGUAGAUCAAUCUUGGAGAAAUACACCGCUCCUUGAAGCUGAUCGAAUAGGUCAUCGAUGCGAGGAAGCAGAUACCGGUUACGAAUCGUCGCCUUAUUCAGUUGCCGGUAAUCGAUGCAGAGAUGCAAGGUACCAUCCUUCUUCUUUACGAACAGAACAGGCGCACCCCAAGGAGACGUACUAGGUCUAAUGAAACCCUUAUCUAGGAGGUCUUGCAACUGCUCCUUUAGCUCUCUUAACUCGGCCGGUGCCAUUCGAUAGGGCGGCAAAGAAAUAGGUGUUGUACCCGGUAUCACGUCGAUACAGAAUUCUAUCUCUCUAUUGGGCGGCAAUCCAGGUAGUUCUUCUGGAAACACAUCAGGAAACUCGCAAACCACCGGAACGUCUUUGACACAACCUUUCCUUGCAGAGGUAUCCCUAACCAAAGCCAAAUAUCCCCGGCAUCCGCGGCGAAGCAUCUGCCUAGCUGUAAUCGCCGACACGAGAUUCGUGGGAGAAGGUAUCUGCUCACCUUUAAAAUAGAACUCUGAGUCUCCAGGAAUUCAAAAAGUCACUUGUUUCUCCCGGCAGUCCAACAUGGUGAAAUGCAAAGCUAACCAAUCCAUUCCCAAAAUCACAUCAAAAUCCAUCACAUCUAAAAGAAUUAGGUCAGCAACCAAAUCUCGACCCUCAACAGACACCGAACACGACGGAUACACGACAUCGGUCUCUAAGGCCUCACUUAACGGCGCAGUGACCGACAUCGGGACUGGAAGCCUAACGGGCUGGACAUCCAAUCUUAAGGCAAAACUAGGCGAUACGAAAGAAUGGGUAGCCCCAGGGUCUAACAAAACUCUAGCUUCAGAAUGACAAACAAGAAUAGUACCUGACACCACGGCAUUUGAGGCUCGCGCAUCUUGAGGAGUGAGGGUGAACACUCUCGCUUGCCCUCGGCCUGACUGUUGAGACCUUGAAGCUCGACCUUGAACCCUGCCCCAGACCGGCCUCCUGAAGAUCUACCUCCAAAACUACGGCCCUGCUGGCCAACAAACUGAGAUCCAUCUUGAAAAUGUCCCGGGGCUGCAGGAAAAGCUGGUCGGGUCGCACUAGUGGACGAGCCUUGUGGAAAAGCUGGUCGACUGAAGUAGCGAGGACACUCUCGAGCCAUAUGUCCCAUCUCACCACACCUAAAAUAGGCUCCACUGGAUGUUAGGCACGGUCCCUGAUGUGACCUGCCACACAUCCGACAAGUGCUGGCCCCAGAACUAGUGCUGCUGAAACCCGAACUCUGCCCACUACCACUGAAGCCCUGACCAGGUAUGAAUCCUCGGCUACUCCUCCGAUUAUGCCUACCCUUUCUGUGGAUGCGGUGACUUCUCUGCCCGACCUGCUGGUCGGUACCGCCGGAGUAACUUCCACUACCAUAGUACGGCACGACAGGCUGCGCACUGGACUGACCCACAACCCUGGUUUUCUUCUUCCUACCAUCGUCAGUCCCUUGACUAAACCCUCGUAGCGUCAUCUCCAUCUGCCUCGCCAUGUCAGUAACUUCUAGGAAGCUGCUCCUCCUAGAUUGAACCAAAGAAACAAACUCUGGGCCGAGCCCUGAAAUGUAUUUGUUGUUCUUCUGCUCCUCAGUCCCCACAGCAUAUGGUGCAUACCUACUCAGCUGAACAAAUUGCCUGGUGUACUCAGCCACAGAUGAUUCUCCCUUGACUAACCUUUCAAACCUCUCCCUAUACUCCUGCCUUACACUGAAAGGGAUGAAGUACUCUUCGAAUCUGUCUCUGAAUUGCCUCCACGACAACCCAUCCAGAAAAGGGCGGAUAUAAUCUUUAAACCACUGGGAUGCUAUUCCCUUCAAGGAAAACCCGGCCAUCUCGAUGGUCCUCUUGUCAGAACAGUGCAAAUCAGACGCCUUCUUUUCAACCUCAUCCAAAAAGUCUAGAGGGUCUCCAGCUGUCCCAUCAAACUCCACAGGUCUUAACUUGGUAUUCUCAGACAUAGGGACAUCGUCCGGAUUCCUGAUACCGGACCCACUAGCACGGCUUCCUGCACCCUAAGCAGCCUGCUGCUGCUGAAAGGCUAGCAACUGCUCUAAGGCCCUCUCCAUCCCAGUCAUACUGGACACAAAAGCCUCCACUGGGAUUUCACCAGCACCAUGUACCUCCUGAGCCUCGCCCUGAUCUGGUUGGGCUGCUGCUCGAGGCCUACCUCGCCUUCUGGUACCAUGGGUUGGGUUCGGAGGAGCUGUAUGAGCAGAAAACUCAUCUUCGCCUUCCUGGGCCGAUGCUGCAGCUGCAGUCGCUCGGGUUCUCGGCAUUGGCAAGAGCUGAAAAUGAACAACAAGCUAUUAACCCAACAGACUCUCUAACGUAUAGCGCAGAUACUAGAAUCAACGAAACAUGCAAGGACAGACUCAAUUUUUCCUAGUUUCCGCAGUAGUUAGAAAGCUAACCUGGGUCGAAGGAAAAAAAAAACUAAACCUGGGCUCUGAUACCAACUUUGUCACGACCCACUAUGUGGGCCCGUGAUCGGCACUAGGGAAUGGGUAGACUUAAGGCCACCAAAACCCGUAGUAAGCCUUACCAAACCGCAAAUCCAUAUAUACAAUUAAUCAAAUAUAAUGUAGUCAUAAUUGUCUAGCAUAAUAAAUCAUUAUAUUACCAACAUGAGUCAGAAUUGCUAUAUAAAUUUUAAAUUUCCUACUGCGGAUAAUCUAGAGUAAUAAUGACAAGUAUAGAAGUACAAGAUAAUUACAAAAGUCCGAAGAAGAAGAAGUCGGACUGUCAAAUGUGCGAAGGCGAAGGUCUUUAACUGUCACCUGAAAAAUUUACAACUGAGACUGUCAGUCUCGGGAGUGAGUUAAAAUCAAGUAAUCUAAGGACUAUUGCAACCUUUACAUGAUAUAAUAAUUAUUUUAAACAAUAUACCAAUUUCUGAACAUAAUUACAAUCAUAAUACAUAGUCAUACCCCAUAAUAAUAAAAUGAUAGAAAGGAGAGAGAGUAAAUAAAUAAAGACAUCUUUACUUUCACGAUUUCAAAUCAAUCCGUCAACCAUGCACGUAAAUACAAUCCAUAUUAUAAUCAUACCAUAAUAAAUAAAUAAAUAAAAUAAAAUAAAUAAAAAAUAUAUAUAUAUAUAUAUAUAUUUUUACUUUUACGGAACAAGUGGCUCAGUAGAACCCUAACUCCAAAUUCUAUCAGCCAUUUUGGCUCUCUUAAUCCAAUAAGACUGGCGCCCAGAGAGCAAUGCUCGACCAGGGACCUUAUCUCCAGUCUGAACACUUGAAUUCCAAAUAAGCCGGCGCCCAGAGAGCAAUGCUCGACCAGGGACCUUACCUCCGACAAUUUACUCAAAUCAGCCUAGAGAGCCAUGCUCGACCAGGGCAAACCCAUAAAUAUCUUAUUACAUGUCCACGAUCAUUACCGGUGCGCACGCGGUCCUGAUGUAACCCAUCAGGCGGCAUGUUCUACAAGCCACAUUUCCCAAUUCUCAAUCAUCACAUAUAAUAAAUAUCAUUAUCUGAUGAACUCAACCAACACAUAUCGAAAUAAAGAUUAAAGAUUUAAGGUAAAACAACGUGCAAUUUGUGAGGAAAAAAAUAAUAACGUUUAUCUUAUUAUAACAUACUAAUAAUAAUAUUUAUAUUAUUUCAAAUAUUAAUAAUCAAGUGAAAUCAUUUAUUUUGCGAUACUAAUAAUCAUAUUAAGCACAAAGAUUAAAUGACUUUAACUCACAGAUUUGAUGCGUUCCACAGUCCGCUCCUACGCCUCGGGUGGAGCUGGCGGGAAGGCUGAAUUAUCUAAUAACAAAAGACAUACAAUUAAUAGACAUUCGAAAAUUUUUCCUAGACUUAGACCCUAAGGUCGACUGCCUAGAAUUAAAUUGGACUCGAGGAUUCUGCCGAAAAUUUGACAGAACCUCCCCUAAAU
This 7421-nucleotide long non-coding RNA is filed under the name Ricinus communis (castor bean). RNAcentral describes it as "long non-coding RNA (RCOM_LNC000767)". Lineage: Eukaryota; Viridiplantae; Streptophyta; Magnoliopsida; Malpighiales; Euphorbiaceae. The record is from RNAcentral.